GACCGCGUAGCUCAAUUGGAAGAGUGUCGGUCUACGAAGCCGAAGGCUGAAGGUUCGAAUCCUUCCGUGGUCA
RNAcentral lists this transfer RNA (73 nucleotides) under Phycisphaerae bacterium. RNAcentral describes it as "tRNA-Arg". It matches the Rfam family "tRNA". Rfam says of the family: Transfer RNA (tRNA) molecules are approximately 80 nucleotides in length. Their secondary structure includes four short double-helical elements and three loops (D, anti-codon, and T loops). Further hydrogen bonds mediate the characteristic L-shaped molecular structure. tRNAs have two regions of fundamental functional importance: the anti-codon, which is responsible for specific mRNA codon recognition, and the 3' end, to which the tRNAs corresponding amino acid is attached (by aminoacyl-tRNA synthetases). tRNAs cope with the degeneracy of the genetic code in two manners: having more than one tRNA (with a specific anti-codon) for a particular amino acid; and 'wobble' base-pairing, i.e. permitting non-standard base-pairing at the 3rd anti-codon position. Lineage: Bacteria; Pseudomonadati; Planctomycetota; Phycisphaerae. The record is from RNAcentral.